AUGGCAGACAAGGUCCUGAAGGAGAAGAGAAAGCAGUUUAUCUGUUCAGCGGGUGAAGGUACAAUAAAUGGCUUACUGGAUGAAUUAUUCGAGACAAGGGUGCUGAGCCAGGAAGAGAUAGAGAUAGUAAAAUGUGAAAAUGCUACAGUUAUGGAUAAGGCCCAAGCUUUGCUUGACUCUGUUAUUCGGAAAGGGGCUCCGGCAUGCCAAAUUUGCAUCACAUACAUUUGUGAAGAAGACAGUCACCUGGCAGGGACGCUGGGACUCUCAGCAGGUCCAACAUCUGGAAAUCACCUUACUACACAAGAUUCUCAAGUAGUACUUCCUUCCUAGAGACUCCUCAGGCAGUGCCAGUGUGGGGCAACCCUGCUAUGCCUACAUCCUCAGGCUCAGGAGGAAGCAUCAAGCUUUGCUCCCUAGACGAAGCUAAAAUGAUAUGGAAAGAAAAGUUGACAGAGAUUUAUCCAAUAAUGGGCAAGUCAAGCUGCACACAUCUUGCUCUCAUUAUGUUUAACAAAGAGUUUGACAGUCUUUCUAAAAGAGUGGGAGCUGAGGUUGAUGUCAUAGGCAUGAUGAUGCUGCUAUAAAAUCUGGGGUACAAGGUGGAUGAGAAAAGAAAUCUCACUGCUUCGGAAAUGACUACAGAGUUGGAGGUAUUCGCUCUGCACCAAGAGCACAAGGCCUCUGGUCUGAUGGUAUUCGGGAAGGCAUUUGUGGGAAGAAAUACUCUGAGCAAGUCCCAGAUGUAUUACAACUCAAUGAAAUCUUUAAAACGUUGAAUAGCAAGAACUGCCCAAGUUUGAAGGACAAACCCAAGGUGAUAAUCAUCCAGGCCUGCCAUAUUGAGAACCAUGGUGUGGUGUUGGUAAAAGAUUCAGCACGGGCCUCUAAAAAUACAUCUUUACCAACUCCAGGAGAUUUUGAGGAUGAUGCUAUUAAUCAAGUACACAUAGAGAAGGAUUUUAUUGCUUUCUGCUCUUCCACAUUAGAUAAUGUUUGCUGGAGACAUCCUGCAAAGGGCUCUUUUUAUUAUGAGUCAUUGAACAACUGCAAGAAUAUGCCUGUUCCUGUGAUGUGGAGGAAAUUUUCCACAAGGUUCAACUUUCAUUUGAGCAGCCAGAUGAUAAAGCACAGAUGCCCAGCACUGAAAGAGUUACUUCGACAAGACGUUUCUAUCUCUUCCCAGGACAUUAA
This 1194-nucleotide small RNA is filed under the name Pan troglodytes (chimpanzee). RNAcentral describes it as "transcribed unprocessed pseudogene". The record is from RNAcentral. Lineage: Eukaryota; Metazoa; Chordata; Mammalia; Primates; Hominidae.